UACGUAUGGUGCAAGCGUUAUCCGGAUUUACUGGGUGUAAAGGGAGCGCAGGCGGCACGGCAAGCCUGAUGUGAAAGCCCGCGGCCCAACCGCGGGACUGCAUUGGGAACUACCGGGCUGGAGUGCCGGAGAGGUAGGCGGAAUUCCUAGUGUAGCGGUGAAAUGCGUAGAUAUUAGGAGGAACACCAGUGGCGAAGGCGGCCUAUUGGACGGUGACUGACGCUGAGGCUCGAAAGCGUGGGGAGCAAGCAGG
RNAcentral lists this ribosomal RNA (253 nucleotides) under uncultured bacterium. RNAcentral's name for it is "partial 16S ribosomal RNA". It matches the Rfam family "Bacterial small subunit ribosomal RNA", at positions 524 to 776 of the family's 1533-position model. The record is from RNAcentral.